RNAcentral lists this unclassified non-coding RNA (241 nucleotides) under plant metagenome. RNAcentral's name for it is "partial contains small subunit ribosomal RNA and internal transcribed spacer 1". The stretch from base 1 to 46 matches the Rfam family "Eukaryotic small subunit ribosomal RNA", at positions 1786 to 1831 of the family's 1831-position model. The record is from RNAcentral.
AAGCCGUAACAAGGUUUCCGUAGGUGAACCUGCGGAAGGAUCAUUAAAAGUGAUUGGGUUAUACAUUUCAUGUAUCAACUGCAUUAACCCCAUUCCGAGUACCCUUGCCUGUUGCUUCCAUGGGGCCUGACCUAGGUCACUCUUGUGAUGUGAAACCCAAGAGAGUCCCCCAUGGGGAGGUAAUCAUUAAAUUCAUGUAUCCAAUGUCUCCCUGUCUGAACUUUUAUAACAAAUGUUAAAA